UUCCAUUGCCAACACACUUUUUUUCUUGACAGGGAACUACGGCGGGCUUAUGCCUACUGAACUAUAUUCGAAACUAUCAGAGUGUAUAGCAGAUUAGAGCAGAUUACAGCAGCCUUAAAGAUUGUUGGCCAUUAACGGUUAUCCAUGGCACUAAAACUACUUGAUCUCAAUACAUUCACCUCACAACACUUGUUGGCGAAAACAUGUGCUAUAGCACCAAAGAAGUUGAGGUCAAAUUAAUGAGGAGUUGUGUGAUCUGAGGAGAAACUAUUCUCAUGCAAAUCGGAUAAUUGUUGUAGGAAUUAAAAGGCACAUGAUUGUACUGUUGUUCUGGGAUUUCGUUUCUCACGUUCCUCGACCCUAAUGUCUACAUGAGAUGUGAGUUCAACGGAUAAAGGAAAUCACAUUACUAAUAGAAUGAUGCCGCAGCAAAGAAAAUGCUCUCAGCCUUGGACGAUCCAUUCACUCGAUUCUUGAAACCAUUACCUUUUCUGAAGCAAGACUAGCUAGCACCCAAGGUGCCCUGGCAGGGGUCAUCAAGGAAACUCAAUAGAUGGCUAUUUCAGUGGAGAUUAUACCAGAGAUGUUGUUUUGAA
Long non-coding RNA from Triticum dicoccoides, 596 nucleotides. RefSeq lists it as uncharacterized. The transcript has 5 exons. NCBI's taxonomy places the organism in Eukaryota, Viridiplantae, Streptophyta, Magnoliopsida, Poales, Poaceae. The record is from RefSeq and is a predicted model, not a curated record.